This 77-nucleotide transfer RNA is filed under the name Sphingomonas sp. RNAcentral describes it as "tRNA-Arg". It matches the Rfam family "tRNA". From Rfam's summary of the family: Transfer RNA (tRNA) molecules are approximately 80 nucleotides in length. Their secondary structure includes four short double-helical elements and three loops (D, anti-codon, and T loops). Lineage: Bacteria; Pseudomonadati; Pseudomonadota; Alphaproteobacteria; Sphingomonadales; Sphingomonadaceae. The record is from RNAcentral. RNAcentral also lists the same sequence under 13 other names.
GCGCCCGUAGCUCAGCUGGAUAGAGCACAUGCCUUCUAAGCCUGUGGUCGCUGGUUCGAAUCCAGCCGGGCGCGCCA